RNAcentral lists this unclassified non-coding RNA (330 nucleotides) under soil metagenome. RNAcentral's name for it is "partial contains 5.8S ribosomal RNA, internal transcribed spacer 2, and large subunit ribosomal RNA". The stretch from base 1 to 118 matches the Rfam family "5.8S ribosomal RNA", at positions 35 to 154 of the family's 154-position model. The record is from RNAcentral.
GAUGAAGCGCAGCAAAAUGCGAUAAGUAAUGUGAAUUGCAGAAUUCAGUGAAUCAUCGAAUCUUUGAACGCACAUUGCGCCCGCCAGUAUUCUGGCGGGCAUGCCUGUUCGAGCGUCAUUUCAACCCUCAAGCACAGCUUGGUGUUGGGACUCGCGUUAAUUCGCGUUCCCCAAAUUGAUUGGCGGUCACGUCGAGCUUCCAUAGCGUAGUAGUAAAACCCUCGUUACUGGUAAUCGUCGCGGCCACGCCGUUAAACCCCAACUUCUGAAUGUUGACCUCGGAUCAGGUAGGAAUACCCGCUGAACUUAAGCAUAUCAAUAAGCGGAGGA